GUGAACGCUGGCGGUAGGCCUAACACAUGCAAGUCGGACGGCAGCACAGUAAGAGCUUGCUCUUACGGGUGGCGAGUGGCGGACGGGUGAGGAAUACAUCGGAAUCUACUUUUUCGUGGGGGAUAACGUAGGGAAACUUACGCUAAUACCGCAUACGACCUACGGGUGAAAGCAGGGGAUCUUCGGACCUUGCGCGAUUGAAUGAGCCGAUGUCGGAUUAGCUAGUUGGCGGGGUAAAGGCCCACCAAGGCGACGAUCCGUAGCUGGUCUGAGAGGAUGAUCAGCCACACUGGAACUGAGACACGGUCCAGACUCCUACGGGAGGCAGCAGUGGGGAAUAUUGGACAAUGGGCGCAAGCCUGAUCCAGCCAUACCGCGUGGGUGAAGAAGGCCUUCGGGCUGUAAAGCCCUUUUGUUGGGAAAGAAAAGCAGCAGGUUAAUACCCCGCUGUUCUGACGGUACCCAAAGAAUAAGCACCGGCUAACUUCGUG
Molecule: ribosomal RNA, 491 nt
Filed under: uncultured bacterium
Lineage: Bacteria
Description: partial 16S ribosomal RNA
Rfam family: Bacterial small subunit ribosomal RNA
Source: RNAcentral